AUGAGAUCAUGACCAGAACUGAAAUGCCCCAGGUGCCUCAUCUUUGUUUAUUCUUCUACGAACACAGGGGUGAGUUUCACUUUUUGGUAAGAUUUCAAGAUGAUUUUGGAACUAGCCUUGGUCUACCCUCAAGACAUCUCUCCUCCUUUGCCUUGGGAGAUUCCAGCCACAUUCUCAACUGUGUGGGAUAAGUUUAAAACUCCACAGGGCUUGCACCAAUGGAUUAACAAGGCAUAAAGAAAUACAAAGCCAUAGGAUGCUCACACCCGAGAUUUGCAAACAAGAUUGGGACCACAGGAUAGAGCAAGGAACAGCAAAGGCUCCCAAGAUAGGGUGGGGAGUUCCAAGGUCCCACAGGAUGGGGGUGGUACAAAGGCACCCAGAAUAGAGAGGGGAGCUAAGGGGUCCAAUAUACAUGAAUAUGAAUUAAUCAAGAUGAAACGUUCCUUCCUUACUGUGAAAGAAGAAAGAAGAAAGCUGCUUUCACAGUAAGGAAGGUCCAAAUGAGCUAAACAAGUAAAUAGAGUUAUAGAUUGCUGCACUGUGUGUGAUAUUGUCCAGAAUGAAGCUGAUUUACAAAAGAAAAGAUGUCUUGUCAACCCUGACAUUAUUGCCCUACCUGUCUUAUCCCCUAGGCUAGCUAAGAUAGAGACACGGUGCCUACUGUCUGCUGUUAAAAACCUUCUGCCCAUCUGCCCAGUGCCAGGAUUUUGUUUCAUAUUGACUCAAACACCAAACACUGUAUAUCUUCAAAACCCUCUUCCUCUUCAUGCCCAUGAGCUAAUGUUCACAAACUCAUUGUGUCUUUGUGCAUGCCCAUCACCUUUGUAAGCCUACUGAUCUUGGUAAAUAUGGGCCAAAGACCCUUAUUUGGGGCUCUGGUAUUUUCCUGGACAAUAGCCAUCUCUCACUUUUAAUCCUGAGUCUACUCUCUUGCUGGCCAAGGGAGAAAUUUAGCCUUGAGUCUAUGACACUCCAUUCCUCUGCCAGUCAUACACCACAGUCUCCUUGGCUUCAUUCAUUAUGCACUGAUAGAAAUCAUGUGUAACAAAGGCUUCCAAAACCUUUCUGGUUUUGUGGUGCAAAAAUUCCCUUUAGUAUAUGUAUAACAGUAGGAGGUAUCUUUAUCCCUUUUCUACUUUUCUACUUGGUACUUCUCACAUAAUCCAUUCUAGGGUUUCCCAAAGCACAUUUCCACGUUCUACCAAUAUGUCCUGGUGAGCACGUGUGACUUAUGGCAAUUCUCCUCUCUCUGCCAUCUUGAAAUUGGAUUCUACAUGCCCAAAGUCAUUUUGCCCGAAAGAACAUAUACCUCUCCCUGUUUUCUUGAAACACACAAGAGUUUAGACUACACUUUUAAUUAAUCUCGAGGAUAAGAGAAGCACAACACGAAGAAGCUCAUAAUCCCUUUUAAAAUAGUCACUCAUUAGAAGGGGACAAUAUGGCAGAGUAGCAUGGCAAUUUUCAGCUUCUCUCAUUCCUGAUAUCCAGAUAUAUCAGCACCAAAGCAUUUUUCACACCUAGAAAACAUCUCUGAGGAUUAACACCACAAUCCGCAUAAAUUUAUUCCCAGAACAUAGCAUAUACAUGGCUCAUAGAGGUGAUCUGGGGGUGAGAGAAACCACAGAAGGUAGGGAGUUGUCCUUGCUGCAGAGAGGAUAGAUACAGGGGGUAUAACACAGGAAAACACUCGCCCUGAACGUAGCUGGAGAGAAAGAUAAUGAGUGGAAACACGUAAGGGAAUGAACAAGAAAGGGAGAAAGGAGAAAGGAGGUUUCAAUACCAUUAGGAAGGACUAUAUAAACAAGGGAGGCCAGAGAUGGACACUGCACUUCACUACCAGGUAGUGCUCUGGUGGGAAAGGCGCAUCCCCCGGAGGAGACAGCAAGAUCUGAGGGCUCCAUAGGCCACAUGGGGAGAGGAGGUUACCCUGCUACGAAGACAUUUGGUAGAAGCUGUGUCAUCUUCCCACGGGCAAAGUUCCCAACAGACCCUGGAGAACAGUCAUUUGCUGGUGUUAGAACAAGAGCUUUAGGGGGAGGUGAAGUCUUGUGCCAGAUGGGUGUCAUUAUUCACCAUAAUUCCUGAGAUGUUGCUGCAUGAUCAUGCUAAAGUUUUGUGGGGCAGGUUGGCACCCAACUGUAGGCUCUGGGCAUCUGCAGCAACGUGGUCCCACAAAUGUUCUCAGUGGUGGGCAGCACCGGGACUUUGCUCGGUGAGACCCUCCCACAGAGGGUCAGAGUGGGUCCAAAUCCCAGGGCCCUGAGAAAUGAGAGGUUUGGAAACACAGCCACUUCUGUGUUAAAAUUUGGAACAGAGGUACCGCCUGACAGGUUGAUGGCUUGGUUGCAGAUAGUGUAAAUGCAGGGUAUGGAUGAAAGCUGGAGACAAAAUAAGGGUGCAUGAGUGCCCAUGGGUGAGGGCACAGAGUUCUGAGGCUUGAAACUGGGUAGAUGGGUGAGGCCAUUUACACCUCUCCUGUGCGCAAAAAUUCACGCAUCCACACGCCACAAUGAUCCACCUCAGUAAGCUAAGCAGAGCCAUCUCGUGGGGAUGGAUACACCAGCUCCCACUCGAGUGUGCCAACCAAGCUCUUAAGGACCACCACAAGUCUCUGUCUCCUUAGUGUAUGGACCAUAAUGUUCUUUAUAGUUUGACUUCUUUGGGAAACUGGAUCUCCAACAUGAUGACCAAUAGUAAUGGAUGGAAUGGCUUGCUUUGUUCCUGGAUGUGUCUUCAGUGAUUCCCAGUUACGGAUUGUUUCCCCUAUAAAACAGCUCCAGAGAGUCUUCUGCCCCAGGACAAAGAAUGUAGUAACAUCUGUUCUCAACCGCUGUUCAUUGAUUGCACUCUCAUGUUGCUGGUGCUGCUCCGGGGUCCAGUCUGUCAGAAGAGGCUGGACGCAGACUCUCAUCAUCCUCCAUGAAAGAAAGGCUUCCCAGCUAUUGAAUGCCCCAGGGCGAGCUGGAAUGCUGGGGAUGAAUACCUUUACACAACUCUUAAAUUAGCCUUAAUCCGA
Suricata suricatta (meerkat) is the source of this 3019-nucleotide long non-coding RNA. RefSeq lists it as uncharacterized. The transcript is spliced from 3 exons. NCBI's taxonomy places the organism in Eukaryota, Metazoa, Chordata, Mammalia, Carnivora, Herpestidae. The record is from RefSeq and is a predicted model, not a curated record.